UCAGAUUAGCUAGUUGGUGGGGUAAAGGCCUACCAAGGCGACGAUCUGUAUCGGGUCUGAGAGGAUGAUCCGCCACACUGGAACUGAGACACGGUCCAGACUCCUACGGGAGGCAGCAGUGGGGAAUUUUGGACAAUGGGGGCAACCCUGAUCCAGCCAUGCCGCGUGAGUGAAGAAGGCCUUCGGGUUGUAAAGCUCUUUCGGCCGGGAAGAAAUCGCAUAGGCUAAUACCCUGUGUGGAUGACGGUACCGGAAUAAAAAGCACCGGCUAACUACGUGCCAGCAGCCGCGGUAAUACGUAGGGUGCGAGCGUUUAAUCGUAAAUUACUGGUCGUAAAAGCGUGCGCAGGCGGUUUCGUAAGAUAGAGGUGAAAAUCCCCGGGCUCAACCUGGGA
RNAcentral lists this ribosomal RNA (395 nucleotides) under Dechloromonas sp. RNAcentral describes it as "bacterial SSU rRNA". It matches the Rfam family "Bacterial small subunit ribosomal RNA", at positions 236 to 619 of the family's 1533-position model. The record is from RNAcentral. Lineage: Bacteria; Pseudomonadati; Pseudomonadota; Betaproteobacteria; Rhodocyclales; Azonexaceae.